RNAcentral lists this small RNA (28 nucleotides) under Bombyx mori (domestic silkworm). RNAcentral describes it as "ovarian small RNA-24970". Lineage: Eukaryota; Metazoa; Arthropoda; Insecta; Lepidoptera; Bombycidae. The record is from RNAcentral.
UCACAAGGUCAGCAAUCGCAGGCGGCGG